ACCCCGGCAACCGCCGCGGCUUCCCGUGCCCACCCGCUCACCUAGCUCUCCCCCGGCUACGGCGAGCGGCGAGCGGCAGAAAGAGCCGGCGUAGGCGGGGGGCGAAGCGCCCCCUGCCCUUCCCUGCAGAGCCGGGGGCAGGUGAGGGAGAGCCCCGGCCGGGAACCGCUUCCCCCGCUUCCCGGGCUGCACCGCCCGGCCCGGCCCGGCCCGGCCUCCCACCGCCUCCCUUCUGCUCGGAGCGAACCCCGUUGUCAACAGGAACAGCACCCUCCCUCCCGGUUCCAGGAGGCAAGGGUUCGAUCAUCAUUCAGAAUCUGAAGUGGAGGAAUCUGAGGACCACACACCCAUAGUUGAAUCCCCACCAUCACUGGAUGACUUACCUGGCCUGGAAACACCAGCAUCUGCAGCCCAGCCAUCUGUAGUGGAAUUGCCACUAUCUGCAGACCAGCUGGCUGUCAAGAAGCCACCCCAUUCCGAGCACCAUUUCCAGCUCACUGUAUAGUCUGCAUCCAGGGAAAGCUCACCUGAGAUCAGAUCACCUCUGGGUGAACUUCCAGGUUUCAAAGUCAAGAUGCACACCUCUGAAUCCACACAGGAUGGCAGUAACACCGUUGAGGCUGUGUUGUCAGCAGCAGAGAUUGCAUUUGAAUCAUUGGAGAAUCCAGAGGAUUUUGGAGACCCCUAUCAAGUUGCCAUGAAUUAUGUGGAGGAACAUAAAAUUCUACAGCUAUUUCAGGAUAUCACAGAAAAACUGCUGAUCCAUAAGCCUGAUGACCCCUUGCAGUUCAUAUUGCUGGAGGUGCAGUCUAUGAUAAAUGCCAGGCAAGCAGAACCGGAGAAACUAUCGGAAUAGAAGGAAGAUGUGUAGGUGUUUCUAGAAGAAGGCUUGUGCACUCCUUUUGGCCCCCAUUUACCCUGCUGUUGUGGUAUUGCCACACCAUGCCUUCCCAGCACCGUGUAGUCAUUAGCAAUAACUUGGAAAAGAUCUGCUUGUCUGUCUCUUGCCUGGUUUCUCUGUUCUGUAUGCUUGUGCUUCCCCUUGGAUUUAAAUCCUGCAACCAAGUUUUGGUUUGGAAUCACACACUGAGAUCUAAGUGUGCAUGGAUUUGCAUGCACAUAUGGCACAUCUUGAAGAGGCAGGUCUGCUGAUCUUCUAGGCAUAUAAAUGCAUAAAUCUCACAUUUAGGCCAAUCCACACUCUGCCUCUCUGUGCAGAGAAACCUCACAGCUCAGACAAUGCAAGGACAAAAGCAAGUAGGGUUAAAAAGCAGCCCUGGACAACCCACAGCCUUCUUUUCUCAUGCUGCAAUGGUGGCUUACUGUGUCCAGUUAUGCAGCAGCACCAAUGCCUAUCUCAUACUUUGAUAGUUUGUGUCUGGGCUUCCCCACUGCCCCCAGAGCUCCUCUAAUGCAAGAAGCUGUCUCUCUGCCUCUUCCACACACUGGGUACAGCUGUCUCACCCUUAAUCAGCCCUGCUGGACACUGAUCACUCUGCUUUUUGGGGUGGCCCUGCCCGUAUCAUUGUAAGUAGGGUGUUUAACCAGAACAGUAAAGCAACAGUUGCACACACCCUUUAUGCUUUCAGGAGACAUUGUCACUCAGGAAUGUGGGAGGUGAAUAAAAGCAAACAAACCAAAACCAAGCACUGGUAGCCCAGAGAAUUAGGAGUCAAGAUACAUUUCGCAAGCACAUCAUUUGAACUGUGUUUGAUUUUUGAAACAAUUACAAUUCUCAUUUUCAUACUAUCCAAGUGUUUGCUUCUACCCUGUAAAAAACCUUUUUUUUUUUCUGUUUCUUGUCUCUUGCCUGACAAUUAUUGAAAAUGUGCAACAGAGCAUACUGUUAUUUUGGCUUAAUAGAUUGUCUUAUAUGCAAUAGAUGCCAGAAAGGGUUUUUAUGUCACUACAGGCUUUUCUCUUUUUUAGGCAAGUGCUCUAAUUUCCUGAUGAAUGGUGGUGUAUUCCCAAAUGACUGUUUCUAUGGCUAUGUAGACAGCACCAUAAAAACUUCCAUCUAUCUCUUUUUUAAAAAAUAAUGUACAAUGAUUGGGUUGUGUGAUUCUACACAACACAGCUUGGGCACCAAAAGUCUGGGAAUAACAGAGGGCAAGUAUUUGGCAUACAAAUUCCAUGUGUGAGAUGAGUUUCCUUCCUAUCUGAGUUUCUCAAAAAGGAUCAGUUAACUCAUGUGUUUCAAAAUUGAAAACAGGUAAGCACCCCUGUCAUUCAUAGGGAAAGGAGGUUUUCAAGGUUAUUUUGAGCCUGAAGAUGGCUUACGAUUCAGAUUAAAUUUUCAUUGGUUUUAUAAGAGUUUUACUGUAUACUUAAGCACCUAGGUGCCCCUGCAGCAGUGAGAUGCUUUUGAAAUCCCUACUCAACUCAAGCAACUGGAAAAAUCUGACACUGAGAAUCUGAGAUUGAUCUGCUUACAAAUUCUUGACCAAAAAUGUAUCAGGCUGAAAAACAAUGCAUACAUGCCCUGUCCUAAUGUAUCUCUGUGGAACAGGAAAUGUAUGGAAGAUGGAGAUAGUGUUUGAAGCUUUCUUGUCUCUAUGGUCAUUUGUCAGCACAUUGUCCCAGGAGAUGGAGAAGCUGACAUGUCUUUGAAUUUUGUUGUAGAGCAGGAUUAGGAUGCCUUGGGGUACAGCCUUCACUGUGUAUAUCCUGCCUCUGUCAUUUGGGUAUUGCUGUUUGUUGUUGUCUUUUGCUUACAAAAAGCUUUUGACCUGUAAUACGUUCUCAGACUGUAAGUAUAUGCCUUCAACUUCAUGUCAGCAUUAAGGGAGUUAUGCAAGGGAAGAUCCUUAAUUCCUCUCUCAGGUAGUUUGAAAUGAGCUGCAAAGCAGUCUUCUUACAGGUGACAGAAGUUUUGCAAGAGAGGCCCUACCCAGCGUUCCUCCGUAAUCUCAGGGCCACAGUUUUCCUUUGGUGGCCUGGCCACCUCAUGUCGUGCUAACAAAGUUGCUGUGUGGCAGCAAGAAUUCCUCCCCAGUACACAUAAGAGAGAGCAUCUGUCUUGUCUAUCUCUCAGAAAAGAGAAACAUUGUUUUCUGUUCUUUUCGUGCUAUUGAGGAGAGGUCCUUCUCCAUUGAGGAGCAGUUUUCUAGAGAUGAAUGAGACUGUACCCAGGAUAAGGUCUGUGGGCCUGGAGAUGGCAUGUGUAGGGAUUGGGGAAGGCAGUGGGCCAAGGAAAAUCCUUCAGCAUUCGGAGUUGGGGGUGGGGGGGAUAUGAUCUCUGAGCAAGGACUUAGAUCAGAAAUGUCACUUCCUUUACCUCAAACCUCUCAGAUGAUCAAACUUAAUUUUAUAAAAACAAAAAAGCAUCCUCCAGAAACAUUUUUGAACUGUCAUUAAAUUUCUUGCCUUGAGUGCUCAGAAGGAAUUAGCAGUUCCUCGUGUGUAACCGAAACUCUUCCAUAUAAGUCCUUACAGCACACUAGUCACAGCACAUUUGAAUGCCCUCCAGAGUGCUAAGCAACGUGACUAACAUCUGGUGUUUGCUCUUUCUCCUCUCCACAAGGGAAAUGGCUGUGCACUGAAGUGCAUUCUUGUAGAAAGGGUGGUUUGGGCUGUUUACCACACCUGUGUAUCUCUAUGUACUUCCAGUGGAUAAGUCAUGAAGUGGAAGGUGUGGAAGUUGGAGGUAGUUUGUAGUUCCCAUGGAUGAUUCCUCUGCAGUAUGAGCUGGAUACUGAGAAAACGCAUUCUUUUCAAGGGAGAGAUUUUUUUGUUCAUCCAUGGACAGACACAGAGGUGUCACCCAUCUAAUCUGCCAAAUGGCAUGGUCUUAUGGUGCCCAGACUGUUUCUGUUGUGAACCUUGUGCUCCUCCAGAGGCAGGACACAGAGGAGCCAAUCAGGAGGAAAGUGCAGUCCCUAUAAAAUAGGUCUCUUGGACCAAAACAUCAGUUUCUUUUUUCUGCCAUCUCUGUAUGGAACUUGAAAACACUCAGCUGCCCCAAGCAAUACUGGAGUUGCCUGUGUACUGCUUCUAACCAAUGGGGGGAAAAAAGUUGUAAUAGCUAAUUAAAAAUCCUCUGAAAAGUU
Zonotrichia albicollis (white-throated sparrow) is the source of this 4049-nucleotide long non-coding RNA. RefSeq lists it as uncharacterized. Lineage: Eukaryota; Metazoa; Chordata; Aves; Passeriformes; Passerellidae. The record is from RefSeq and is a predicted model, not a curated record.